CGUGGAGACAGGUGGUGCAUGGCUGUCGUCAGCUCGUGUCGUGAGAUGUUGGGUUAAGUCCCGCAACGAGCGCAACCCUCACCCCUAGUUGCCACCGGGUAAAGCCGAGCACUCGAGGGGAACUGCCAGCGUCAAGCUGGAGGAAGGCGGGGAUGACGUCAAGUCAUCAUGCCCCUUACGCCCUGGGCUACACACGUGCUUCAAUGGCCGGUACAAAGGGACGCGAGACUGCAAGGUGGAGCUAAUCCCAAGAAACUGGUCUAAGUUCAGAUUGCAGUCUGCAACUCGACUGCAUGAAGGAGGAAUCGCUAGUAAUCGCGCAUCAGCACGGCGCGGUGAAUACGUUCCCGGGCCUUGUACACACCGCCCGUCACACCACGAAAGCUGUCUGUACUCGAAGUCGCUGAG
RNAcentral lists this ribosomal RNA (408 nucleotides) under uncultured Methylomirabilota bacterium. Its description in RNAcentral is "bacterial SSU rRNA". It matches the Rfam family "Bacterial small subunit ribosomal RNA", at positions 1027 to 1434 of the family's 1533-position model. Lineage: Bacteria; Methylomirabilota (SeqCode). The record is from RNAcentral.